This 954-nucleotide ribosomal RNA is filed under the name Triticum aestivum (bread wheat). Its description in RNAcentral is "partial small subunit ribosomal RNA". The record is from RNAcentral. Lineage: Eukaryota; Viridiplantae; Streptophyta; Magnoliopsida; Poales; Poaceae.
CAGGGCCUACUAAAUGCAGUGAAUGUUGUCUUUCCUAAGUGCAACCAAAGGUUCUGCCUUAGGCAUAUCUAUGCAAACUUCCAAAAUGCUAGGUUUAGGGGGGGAGAUCUGAAAAAGUGUAUGGAUAAUGCUGCCUAUGCAUAUAGUGAACACAAAUUUAACAUUGCAAUGAAUGACCUUAGAGCUGAGUGUGAGCAAGCUUGGGAGUGGCUUUGUCAAAUACCCAAGAAAACAUGGGCAAGGCAUGCAUUUGACACAAACUGCAAGACUGACCUUGUAGUUAACAAUUUAUCUGAGGUGUUCAACAAGUAUGUCCUAGAUGUUAGGAAGAAACCAAUUAGGACAAUGUGUGAUGGAAUAAAGGAUAAGCAGAUGGUGAGGUGGCAUAGGAAUAGGGAGAGUGGAAAGAAAGCUAGAUGGGACAUAACACCCCAUUAUAGUGAGAAGCUAGAGGUUGAGAAGGAGAGGGCCAAAUAUUGCAAACCAAUUCAAGCUGGUGUGGACUUGUGGCAAGUUACAAGUGGGCAGCAAACCCAUGCUGUUAACUUGCAAAUGCACGCAUGUGGGUGCAGAAAAUGGGACCUAAGUGGCAUCCCAUGUAACCAUGCCAUCUCAACAAUAAACAAGGCCAAAAGAAAACCAGAGGAUUAUGUCAGCAAGUUCUUCAAGAAAGAAAUUUAUCUGGCAGCUUAUGAACCAAUGAUCUAUCCAGUUCCUGGUGAGCAUGACUGGACAAGGACACCUGGUCCAGACAUUGACCCACCUGCAUUUAAAGUGAAGAGAGGAAGAAAGAAAGAGAAGAGGAUCAAGGGGAAAUUUGAAGUCCCAAAGCCUAAGGAGACAUCAAGAAUGGGGACUAUAACAUGUGGCAAUUGUGGACUGCAAGGACAUAGGUACACAAGCUGCAACAAGCAGUUGAAGCCUGAGCUGGCUUUGAGGAAGAACAAACAUGUG